AGUGAACGCUGGCGGUAGGCCUAACACAUGCCAGUCGAACGGCAGCACAGUAAGAGCUUGCUCUUACGGGUGGCGAGUGGCGGACGGGUGAAGAAUACAUCGGAAUCUACUUUUUCGUGGGGGAUAACGUAGGGAAACUUACGCUAAUACCGCAUACGACCUACGGGUGAAAGCAGGGGAUCUUCGGACCUUGCGCGAUUGAAUGAGCCGAUGUCGGAUUAGCUAGUUGGCGGGGUAAAGGCCCACCAAGGCGACGAUCCGUAGCUGGUCUGAGAGGAUGAUCAGCCACACUGGAACUGAGACACGGUCCAGACUCCUACGGGAGGCAGCAGUGGGGAAUAUUGGACAAUGGGCGCAAGCCUGCUCCAGCCAUACCGCGUGGGUGAAGAAGGCCUUCGGGUUGUAAAGCCCUUUUGUUGGGAAAGAAAAGCAGCAGGUUAAUACCCCGCUGUUCUGACGGUACCCAAAGAAUAAGCACCGGCUAACUUCGUG
Molecule: ribosomal RNA, 492 nt
Filed under: uncultured bacterium
Lineage: Bacteria
Description: partial 16S ribosomal RNA
Rfam family: Bacterial small subunit ribosomal RNA
Source: RNAcentral